Molecule: ribosomal RNA, 279 nt
Filed under: uncultured bacterium
Lineage: Bacteria
Description: partial 16S ribosomal RNA
Rfam family: Bacterial small subunit ribosomal RNA
Source: RNAcentral
UGCCAUCCGCCGCGGUAAUACGGAGGGUGCAAGCGUUGUUCGGAAUUAUUGGGCGUAAAGCGCGUGUAGGCGGUUCGUUAAGUCUGAUGUGAAAGCCCGGGGCUCAACCCCGGAAGUGCAUUGGAAACUGGCGAACUUGAGUACGGGAGAGGAAAGUGGAAUUCCGAGUGUAGGGGUGAAAUCCGUAGAUAUUCGGAGGAACAUCAGUGGCGAAAGCGGCUUCCUGGCCCGAUAUUGACGCUCAUGUCCGAAAGCGUGGGUAGCAAACAGGAUUAGAUA